RNAcentral lists this small nucleolar RNA (87 nucleotides) under Leishmania donovani. RNAcentral's name for it is "H/ACA box snoRNA LD30Cs3H1". The record is from RNAcentral. Lineage: Eukaryota; Euglenozoa; Kinetoplastea; Trypanosomatida; Trypanosomatidae.
AAGCCCGACAUUAGCACCACUGCAAUAGGCGGCUACAUGGACAUUUUACUCCCCUUCCAUAGUCACCUACCCCUGCGUGCGAGAUCU